This 496-nucleotide ribosomal RNA is filed under the name uncultured bacterium. RNAcentral describes it as "partial 16S ribosomal RNA". It matches the Rfam family "Bacterial small subunit ribosomal RNA", at positions 28 to 506 of the family's 1533-position model. The record is from RNAcentral.
GAUGAACGCUGGCGGCGUGCCUAAUACAUGCAAGUCGAGCGAACAGAUGAGGAGCUUGCUCCUCUGACGUUAGCGGCGGACGGGUGAGUAACACGUGGAUAACCUACCUAUAAGACUGGGAUAACUUCGGGAAACCGGAGCUAAUACCGGAUAAUAUAUUGAACCGCAUGGUUCAAUAGUGAAAGACGGUUUUGCUGUCACUUAUAGAUGGAUCCGCGCCGCAUUAGCUAGUUGGUAAGGUAACGGCUUACCAAGGCAACGAUGCGUAGCCGACCUGAGAGGGUGAUCGGCCACACUGGAACUGAGAAACGGUCCAGACUCCUACGGGAGGCAGCAGUAGGGAAUCUUCCGCAAUGGGCGAAAGCCUGACGGAGCAACGCCGCGUGAGUGAUGAAGGUCUUCGGAUCGUAAAACUCUGUUAUUAGGGAAGAACAAAUGUGUAAGUAACUAUGCACGUCUUGACGGUACCUAAUCAGAAAGCCACGGCUAACUACGU